This is a microRNA precursor of Ochotona princeps (American pika), 111 nucleotides long. The record is from Ensembl. NCBI's taxonomy places the organism in Eukaryota, Metazoa, Chordata, Mammalia, Lagomorpha, Ochotonidae.
GACAGCGUGGCGUUGUAGGGCUCCACGACAGUGUCGGACACCUUGGGCGAGGGCACCACGCUGAAGGUGUUCAUGAUGCGAUCGGGAUACUCUUCUCGGAUCUUGCUGAUG